UUUUAUUCUCAUUAGCAUUAUUGUAGUUAUUAAAAUGUUAAUCCUUGAGGGAUAUACAUAUUUCUUAAAGUGGAGUGAGUAUGGGGUAGUUGAAAGAGGGUGUUAGAAGUCAGACAGGCCUCGGCUUAGAUCUUGGAUCACCUAAUUCAGAUCUAAACCUAAGUUUGUUCAACUGUACAAAAGAGGCUAAUACCCACCUUGUGAAAUUUUUGUAAAGUUUAAAUGAAGAAUAUAAAGAAAAUGCGUAGCACAAUAACUGACCCAUGAGAGAUGCUCAGCUUAGGUGACUUUGCAUGAAGAAUUGCCACUGUCUACAAGAGCAUUAGCAUUUUUAUAGGGAUCAGAAUUAUAAACUCCAGGAAGAUCAUAGGGGAAAGAUAUGAUCCUGGUGGUAGAGCAGCCAUUACAACAUUUUUCCCUCGCCGCUCAAGCUUAAACUUCUGACUUGUUCUCAUCUUUUAGAUCUCAGUUUGGCUGUCACUUCCUCCAGGAAGUCUUCAGUGCUAGGCUUCCAUGGAGCUCUGUCCUCCUCCUGUCGUAGGAAGACACAGUAUCAUGGGUGAUAUGUUCACUUGUCUAAAACGCCUGCUUGAUAAUAAGGUCCUUGAGACAAGAAAAUGUGCCUCCUUUGUAAUCUGUGUGGCUACAGCAAUAUUUCUAUCCCACAUGCUUUUGCAGAACCUUGUCCCUCCCUUAUCAAGUAGUGGAGUUUUUGUCGCCUCCUCCCCUUAAACCUGGGUAGGCCUUUGUGACACCUAAACUUAUAGAGUAGAAUGGAGAAUAAUUCUAUGAUUCUGAAGUUAGGUCAUAAAGGAUGGAACAGCUUCCACCUGACUUUUUCUCUUAAAAUAAUCUCCCUUGAAACACAGCCACCAUGGUGGGAGGAAGACUAAGCCAUAAGGAGAGGCACACAAGGAGGGGAAUUGAGGUCCCAGCCACAACCAAGCUCCCUGCCAACAGCCAGCAUCAACUUUCUAGUCACACAAGUGAGCCAUCUUGGAAGCAAAUACUCCAGUCCUGAAUCAAGACACCUCAGCUAAUGGUGCGUGGAAGAGAUGUGCCUCUUCCACUGAUGCCAGUCCAAAUUGCAGAUUCAUGAACAACGAAAUAGUCCCCUUGCUUGCAGAAUACCUGGACGUCGUAGGAACAUAAGCUGGCUGGCAGAAAGACAAGGCAGGCAGCUUUGAUUUAUCCCAGGAAGUUAGAAAACCUCUCUUCAAUGAAGGAGGUGAAAGCCAUAAUGAUUCUUCAUAAUGAACCCUGAUGACGAGGAGCAAGCAAUGAGCCACUUUUUAUGGCAGUUAAUGAUUCGAGCAGAAUGAAAGAAGAAGACUGCACUGGUCACUUGCUCCUCUGAUUCAAACAUAAAAACACAACACAGUGAAAAAGCAUAUUGUUUCCCUGAACUUCAGAGGAAAAACUGAAAACGUUUUUCAAAGUAAAUGAAUUAAUCUCCGUUCCAAACCCAGUAACUAGUCUUAUUCUUUUGUUUUUGUCCUGAUCUGCCUUCCUUACAUAGAAGUUAUGUAGCACACGUUGUUUUCUUUUUAUAUCGGUUACAUUUUUACAGUAAUCACACAGUAUCUACACAAAAGAGAUUGGGUUGAUAUCUAUACAUAGAAAACUAAUGGGACCCUGUGAACCUGGAUACUGACACCCUCACUUUGUCAUCAAUGUAGAACAAUGCAUAAUAAAUGUUAUCAUCAUAUCUGUGCAAUACACAUAGAUUAAUCAUGACAAAAAAAUGUUAGGAUCCCCCUUAGUGUGUUAUUAUUUGUAAUUGUCCAUAACAAUAGUUACAACAAACUUUGGUACUAAUAGUGCAUGCAACAUUUGGAAAUUUACUAGUAUUUUUAACGAAUAAUAAAGAGAGUUUUCCAUGAAGAUGACAAGAAUGGUAAACACAUCCU
Molecule: long non-coding RNA, 1910 nt
Organism: Equus caballus (horse)
Lineage: Eukaryota; Metazoa; Chordata; Mammalia; Perissodactyla; Equidae
Source: Ensembl